GGCCCCCCCAAGCCUCCAGUGCUUGUUGAGGUUUCAGUCUGCAGUCUGCUGAUCCGAAAGAAAGAAGGCGGCUUUUGGAGGACUUAAUCAUUGCGAGUCGAGCUGCUGCUGAACCUCCCCUUCCAACAUCCAGCAGGUUUGUUCUGCAGGCCCCAAUGAUGGCACAGGCAUGAAAGAGCCCAGAGCUCGUCGCUGGGGAGAGGCUGCGUAUGGCGUUGUGAAGGGAGAGAUGGAGGAGGGGUUUGAGCAGCGCUGUGCAGGAAUGAACGGCUGGUAAGAGAAGAGGACCCCCAUCACCAUCCCAGGACCCCCAUAGCCCACCUUUGGCCUCUCCUCCCCCCGACCUGCCUCCAGAUCCCGUACAACCUCACAGUGCUGUGGCAGGGCUGGCUUCUGCAGGUGAGGAAUGAGGAGCUGGAGAAGGUGUAGGGCACAGAUGUGGGUCUCAGAAAGUGAAGUGGGUGGUACUGGGGAUACUGGGGAACACGGAUCAGAACAUGGGAGGAUUUGGGGAGGAUAAGGGGAUGUGGACCACAGCCUACAGGAGCAGAGUGCUUCACAGGAGA
Molecule: long non-coding RNA, 566 nt
Organism: Gallus gallus (chicken)
Lineage: Eukaryota; Metazoa; Chordata; Aves; Galliformes; Phasianidae
Exons: 4
Source: RefSeq, a predicted model, not a curated record